This is a non-coding RNA of Erythranthe guttata (spotted monkey flower), 301 nucleotides long. The record is from RefSeq and is a predicted model, not a curated record. NCBI's taxonomy places the organism in Eukaryota, Viridiplantae, Streptophyta, Magnoliopsida, Lamiales, Phrymaceae.
AUAAUUAAUUUUCUGCAGGUUUAAGAUUAGACGAGGACAAAAAUACCUAGUUAGAUACUAAAAUGCCAUGAAGAGAUCUCGUGGAUCUUAGUGUAGGUGCAGCACAUAGUGGAAGAUGGUCACGGGGGUGUCUAGUGCGAAAUCAACUCUUGGACAUCUUCAGUAAAUAUCGACAGAAGCUGUAAAAUGAGAUUGGAGACAAGCUUUAAAGUGAAAAGGUGUAGAUGGGAUGCCACCAUGCUCUACUUGCAUGCACAUGCACCAGCGCUCAUGCACAUGCACCAGCCCACAUGUUGUAAUC